Molecule: non-coding RNA, 87 nt
Organism: Bacillus licheniformis
Lineage: Bacteria; Bacillati; Bacillota; Bacilli; Caryophanales; Bacillaceae
Source: Rfam
CUGAUACAAGACAACGAAAGCCCUACCUCUCAUUCGUCCUUGCGGCUCCGAAGCCGCGCCAGUGUGAAUUGUGAAACAAAAAGUCUU